CGGUGGUAAUGGCGUAAAGGUAACACUCCUUCCCAUACCGAACAGGUAAGUUAAGCUUUACAGCGCUGAUGGUACUGCAGGGGAAGCCCUGUGGAAGAGUAAGACACUGCCGGGUA
RNAcentral lists this ribosomal RNA (116 nucleotides) under Hathewaya histolytica. The record is from RNAcentral. Lineage: Bacteria; Bacillati; Bacillota; Clostridia; Eubacteriales; Clostridiaceae.